UUGAUAAGUAGGGCGGGACACGUGACAUCCUGUCCGAAGAUGGGGGGACCAUCCUCCAAGGCUAAAUACUCGUGAUCGACCGAUAGUGAACCAGUACUGUGAAGGAAAGGCGAAAAGAACCCCGGGAGGGGAGUGAAAUAGAACCUGAAACCGCAUACAUACAAACAGUAGGAGCCGGCUUGACCGGUGACUGCGUACCUUUUGCAUAAUGGGUCAGCGACUUACGUUUUGUGGCAAGCUUAACCGAGUAGGGGAGGCGUAGCGAAAGCGAGUCCGAAUAGGGCGAAUCAGUCGCAGGGCGUAGACCCGAAACCAGAUGAGCUAUCCAUGGCCAGGCUGAAGGUGUGGUAACACACACUGGAGGGCCGAACCGACUAGUGUUGCAAAAUUAGCGGAUGAGCUGUGGAUAGGGGUGAAAGGCUUAACAAAUCUGGAGAUAGCUGGUUCUCCCCGAAAACUAUUGAGGUAGUGCCUCGUGAAUGACUCCAGGGGGUAGAGCACUGUUAUGGCUAGGGGGACAUGGCGUCUUACCAAACCAUGGCAAACUCCGAAUACUUGGAAGUUGAAUCACGGGAGACAGAGCACCGGGUGCUAACGUCCGGACUCAAAAGGGAAACAACCCAGACCGCCGUUUAAGGUCCCUAAUAUUGACUAAGUGGAAAACGAAGUGUGAAGGCUAAGACAGUCAGGAAGUUGGCUUAGAAGCAGCCAUCCUUCAAAGAAAGCGUAAUAGCUCACUGAUCGAGUCCUCAUGCGCGGAAGAUGUAACGGGGCUAAGUCAAUAACCGAAAGCGCGGAUUUGCACGUUAAGUGCAAGUGGUAGGGGAGCGUUCUGUAAGCCUGCGAAGGGGUAUUGCGAAGUGCCCUGGAGGUAUCAGAAGUGCGAAUGCUGACAUGAGUAACGUUAAAACGGGUGAAAAGCCCGUUCGCCGUAAGCCCAAGGUUUCCUGCUCUACGUUCAUCGGAGCAGGGUGAGUCGGUCCCUAAGGCCAGGCUGAGAAGCGUAGUCGAUGGCAAUCAGGUUAAUAAUCCUGAACCGCGUUCCAAUGCGAUGGGGGGACGGAGUGUGGAAGAUCAUCCGGGUGUUGGAUAUCCCGGUUUGCGAGCGUAGAAGGCCGGUUGGCAAAUCCGCCGGCGCAUCUUCAAGGCGAAGCAUCGAGCUCCUUUUGGAGUGAAGUGAUCGGAAGGACUUCCAGGAAAAGCCUCUAAGCUUCAGUUGGAACGUGACCGUACCGCAAACCGACACUGGUGGGCGAGUUGAAUAUACUCAGGCGCUUGAGAGAACUCGGGAGAAGGAACUCGGCAAAUUGACACCGUAACUUCGGGAAAAGGUGUGCCUUGGUAGCGUGAAGGGAGAAACGCCCGGAGCGCGAAGAGGUCUCAGAGAAUUGGUGGCUGCAACUGUUUAUUAAAAACACAGCACUCUGCAAAGACGAAAGUCGACGUAUAGGGUGUGAUGCCUGCCCGGUGCUGGAAGAUUAAGUGAUGGGCUGCAAGGUCCUGAUCGAAGUCCCAGUAAACGGCGGCCGUAACUAUAACGGUCCUAAGGUAGCGAAAUUCCUUGUCGGGUAAGUUCCGACCUGCACGAAUGGCAUAAUGAUGGCCACACUGUCUCCUCCCGAGACUCAGUGAA
RNAcentral lists this ribosomal RNA (1633 nucleotides) under gut metagenome. Its description in RNAcentral is "bacterial LSU rRNA". It matches the Rfam family "Bacterial large subunit ribosomal RNA", at positions 405 to 2040 of the family's 2925-position model. The record is from RNAcentral.